GUUAUAUGGUCAAGCGAAUAAGCGCACACGGUGGAUGCCUUGGCGGUCAGAGGCGAUGAAGGACGUGGUAGCCUGCGAAAAGCGUCGGGGAGCUGGCAACAAGCUUUGAUCCGGCGAUGUCCGAAUGGGGAAACCCACCCGUAAGGGUAUCCUGCAGUGAAUACAUAGCUGCUGGAAGCGAACGCGGUGAACUGAAAUAUCUAAGUAACCGUAGGAAAAGAAAUCAACCGAGAUUCCCUGAGUAGCGACGAGCGAACGGGGACUAGCCCAAAAGUCGAUCGAGUUCUAGCAAAGCGGUCUGGAAAGGCCGGCCAUAGAAGGUGAUAGCCCUGUAUGCGAAAGGGCUCGAUCGAUGAAAUUGAGUAGGGCGGGGCACGUGAAACCCUGUCUGAACAUGGGGGGACCAUCCUCCAAGGCUAAAUACUACUGACCGACCGAUAGUGAACCAGUACCGUGAGGGAAAGGCGAAAAGAACCCCGGCGAGGGGAGUGAAAUAGACCCUGAAACCGUGUGCGUACAAGCAGUCGGAGCCCGCAAGGGUGACGGCGUACCUUUUGUAUAAUGGGUCAGCGACUUACUGUCUGUGGCGAGCUUAACCGUAUAGGGGAGGCGAAGGGAAACCGAGUCUGAAUAGGGCGCAUAGUCGCAGGCAGUAGACCCGAAACCGGGUGAUCUAGUCAUGCCCAGGGUGAAGGUUGAGUAACAUCAACUGGAGGCCCGAACCCACUCCCGUUGCAAAGGUAGGGGAUGAGGUGUGAUUAGGAGUGAAAAGCUAAUCGAACCCGGAGAUAGCUGGUUCUCCUCGAAAGCUAUUUAGGUAGCGCCUCAUGUGAAUCUUCCUGGGGGUAGAGCACUGUUAUGGCUAGGGGGUCAUUGCGACUUACCAAACCAUGGCAAACUCCGAAUACCAGGACAGAAUGCAUGGGAGACACACGGCGGGUGCUAACGUCCGUCGUGAAAAGGGAAACAACCCAGACCCACAGCUAAGGUCCCAAAUUACCGCUAAGUGGAAAACGAUGUGGAAAGGCACAGACAGCCAGGAGGU
RNAcentral lists this ribosomal RNA (1045 nucleotides) under Candidatus Accumulibacter phosphatis. RNAcentral's name for it is "partial 23S ribosomal RNA". It matches the Rfam family "Bacterial large subunit ribosomal RNA", at positions 1 to 1101 of the family's 2925-position model. Lineage: Bacteria; Pseudomonadati; Pseudomonadota; Betaproteobacteria. The record is from RNAcentral.